This 1191-nucleotide long non-coding RNA is filed under the name Vulpes vulpes (red fox). Its description in RNAcentral is "lncRNA (ENSVVUG00000019407.1)". The record is from RNAcentral. Lineage: Eukaryota; Metazoa; Chordata; Mammalia; Carnivora; Canidae.
GAAAAAUUAAGAAGACUUGCCCAUAUGUAUGUGAUAAGGGCCAUUCACUUGUAUAUGCCAAAUGGUUUCCAAAGAAACUCUGCCUCCAUAAACACAUACUCAUGUACAUAAACAUAUAAAGUCACACACACACACACACACACACACACACUAUCCUAUUGGACUUGGAAUGCUCAUGAAUUUUAUAUUAUUUUUUUCCCAUAAAAUUUGCAAGAUACAAACCCAUAUGACCUCACAGGAGGUCUAGACAAGAAUCUAGAGAUCUCAGGUUGUUUGAAGCCAUUGUCAGGUCACUACUUCAAAUCAGAACAUACAGGCAUUACUUUUAAGUCCUAAAACCUGGGUCUGAUUCUGGCCGCAUCUGUAUCAUGGUUUCUGAGUCAUGUCCCACUGUGUAUCUGCUCUAGAAAACUACAGAAAUGGAGAAUGACUACACUAGAAUCAGGGCAUGUGAAAGAUGGACAUUGGAGAGAUUCUUAGACAGGAGAUGGGUUAUAUUCCAUUUCCUCUAUGAUCUCAUCUGCCUUACAAAUUGUGGAUUCUUAGAACAUUCCAGAGCUCUGACCUCCUUAGGCUGAUUUGGUGGUAGGAGUUAAAGGGUGGACCAUUGUCCAUAUGGUUGAAGUCAUUUGGGUGUCAGAGAGAGAAGGCCACUUCAAUUAAGGUGCUACAUUUAGGAAAACUUAUCCCUAUGAGGUAAAGACUGAGUCUCUUCUCUAGCAUAUUUGGACCAUUAUGACAUGUCCAACACCAAAAUUACUCACUAGUAGCCCAUUGUAAUGUUGCCAUAGUGACUGUCUCCCAUUAUAAUCAGCAAGAUUAAAAAGACAAUAUCUGUGAAGAUCUCUACGGCUGACAAGUGAGUGCCCGUGGGAGAGAGAAGAAGACCUGCUUCCACAAUGUACUGGGAUGGAGGCAGAUCCUGAGCCCAGAGUCAGCUCUAUGAAUGGUGGCAGGCCAGGGCAAUCUGCUCUAUGAAAAUAGGGAUCUUUUCAGUCUUGUCCAUCUCUGUACCAUCAACAGCUAUCACAAUGCUGGUACAAAAGUCUUCUUCCUUCUGACCUUUGCCUGUGGAUUUGAGAAAAAGCAACCAUUUAAGAACUUAAAAUGUAAACUCACUUGGGAUAGAGAAAGUCUGGUUAUCCUCUGAUUAAAGAAUAAAAAUAAUGGUGUCCUUUCUCUCUCCCUACA